UCCGUAGGCGGGCGACUAAGUCAGAGGUGAAAUCCCACAGCUUAACUGUGGAACUGCCUUAGAUACUGGUUAUCUUGAGUUUUAGUGAAGUAGAUAGAAUGUGUAGUGUAGCGGUGAAAUGCAUAGAUAUUACACAGAAUACCGAUUGCGAAGGCAGUCUACUAACUAACAACUGACGCUAAUGGACGAAAGCGUGGGGAGCGAACAGGAUUAGAUACCCUGGUAGUCC
RNAcentral lists this ribosomal RNA (229 nucleotides) under uncultured bacterium. RNAcentral's name for it is "partial 16S ribosomal RNA". It matches the Rfam family "Bacterial small subunit ribosomal RNA", at positions 568 to 796 of the family's 1533-position model. The record is from RNAcentral.